RNAcentral lists this ribosomal RNA (406 nucleotides) under uncultured bacterium. RNAcentral's name for it is "partial 16S ribosomal RNA". It matches the Rfam family "Bacterial small subunit ribosomal RNA", at positions 29 to 526 of the family's 1533-position model. The record is from RNAcentral.
AUUGAACGCUGGCGGCAGGCCUAACACAUGCAAGUCGAGCGAGCGGCGGACGGGUGAGUAAUGUCUGGGAAACUGCCUGAUGGAGGGGGAUAACUACUGGAAACGGUAGCUAAUACCGCAUACCAUCAGAUGUGCCCAGAUGGGAUUAGCUGGUAGGUGGGGUAACGGCGCACCUAGGCGACGAUCCCUAGCUGGUCUGAGAGGAUGACCAGCAAACCGGGAACGUAUACACGUUCCAGAACCCUACGGUAGGCAGCAGUGGGGAAGAUUGCACAAUGGGCGCAAGCCUGAUGCAGCCAUGCCGCGUGUGUGAAGAAGGCCUGCGGGUUGUAAAGCACGUUCAGCGGGGAGGCGUUACCCGCAGAAGAAGCACCGGCUAACUCCGUGCCAGCAGCCGCGGUAAUAC